UAGGGAAUCUUCCACAAUGGACGAAAGUCUGACCGAGCAACGCCGCGUGAGUGAAGAAGGUUUUCGGAUCGUAAAACUCUGUUGGUAGAGAAGAACGUUGGUGAGAGUGGAAAGCUCAUCAAGUGACGGUAACUACCCAGAAAGGGACGGCUAACUACGUGCCAC
RNAcentral lists this ribosomal RNA (165 nucleotides) under uncultured bacterium. RNAcentral's name for it is "partial 16S rRNA". It matches the Rfam family "Bacterial small subunit ribosomal RNA", at positions 355 to 511 of the family's 1533-position model. The record is from RNAcentral.